GACGAACGCUGGCGGCGUGCUUAACACAUGCAAGUCGAACGGAAAGGCCCUGCUUUUGUGGGGUGCUCGAGUGGCGAACGGGUGAGUAACACGUGAGUAACCUGCCCUUGACUUUUGUAUAACUUCAGGAAACUGUGGCUAAUACCUGAUAUGAGCUCCUGCUGCAUGGUGGUGGUUGGAAAGUUUCGGCGUUUGGGGAUGGACUCGCGGCUUAUCAGCUUGUUGGUUGGGUAGUGGCUUACCAAGGCUUUGACGGGUAGCCGGCCUGAGAGGGUGACCGGCCACAUUGGGACUGAGAUACGGACCAGAAUCCUACGGGAGGCAGCAGGGGGGAAUAUUGCACAAUGGGCGGAAGCAUGAUGCAGAAACGCCGCGUGCGGGAUGAAGGCCUUCGGGUUGUAAACCGAUUUCGACUGUGACGAAGCGUGAGUGACGGUAAUGGGUAAAGAAGCACCGGCUAACUACGUG
This 468-nucleotide ribosomal RNA is filed under the name uncultured bacterium. Its description in RNAcentral is "partial 16S ribosomal RNA". It matches the Rfam family "Bacterial small subunit ribosomal RNA", at positions 28 to 507 of the family's 1533-position model. The record is from RNAcentral.